RNAcentral lists this ribosomal RNA (475 nucleotides) under uncultured organism. Its description in RNAcentral is "partial 16S ribosomal RNA". It matches the Rfam family "Bacterial small subunit ribosomal RNA", at positions 334 to 800 of the family's 1533-position model. The record is from RNAcentral.
CACUCCUACGGGAGGCAGCAGUGGGGAAUUUUGGACAAUGGGCGAAAGCCUGAUCCAGCAAUGCCGCGUGUGUGAAGAAGGCCUUCGGGUUGUAAAGCACUUUUGUCCGGAAAGAAAUCCUUGGCUCUAAUACAGUCGGGGGAUGACGGUACCGGAAGAAUAAGCACCGGCUAACUACGUGCCAGCAGCCGCGGUAAUACGUAGGGUGCGAGCGUUAAUCGGAAUUACUGGGCGUAAAGCGUGCGCAGGCGGUUUGCUAAGACCGAUGUGAAAUCCCCGGGCUCAAUCUGGGAACUGCAUUGGUGACUGGCAGGCUAGAGUAUGGCAGAGGGGGGUAGAAUUCCACGUGUAGCAGUGAAAUGCGUAGAGAUGUGGAGGAAUACCGAUGGCGAAGGCAGCCCCCUGGGCCAAUACUGACGCUCAUGCACGAAAGCGUGGGGAGCAAACAGGAUUAGAAACCCUGGUAGUCCCAUGA